CAGAGGGUGCGAGCGUUAAUCGGAAUUACUGGGCGUAAAGCGCACGUAGGCGGCUUGGUAUGUCGGGUGUGAAAUCCCCAGGCUCAACCUGGGAACUGCAUCCGAAACUGCCUUGCUCGAGUAUGGGAGAGGGAAGUGGAAUUUCCGGUGUAGCGGUGAAAUGCGUAGAUAUCGGAAGGAACAUCAGUGGCGAAGGCGACUUCCUGGACCAAUACUGACGCUCAGGUGCGAAAGCGUGGGGAGCAAACAGGAUUAGAUACCCUGGUAGUCCACGCCCUAAACGAUGAGAACUGGAUGUCGGGAGGGUCUGCCUUCCGGUGUCGUAGCUAACGCGUUAAGUUCUCCGCCUGGGAAGUACGGCCGCAAGGUUG
This 371-nucleotide ribosomal RNA is filed under the name uncultured organism. RNAcentral describes it as "bacterial SSU rRNA". It matches the Rfam family "Bacterial small subunit ribosomal RNA", at positions 526 to 896 of the family's 1533-position model. The record is from RNAcentral.